CAGUCGCCGCGGUAAUACGGAGGAUCCAAGCGUUAUCCGGAAUCAUUGGGUUUAAAGGGUCCGUAGGCGGUCUUGUAAGUCAGUGGUGAAAGCCCAUCGCUCAACGGUGGAACGGCCAUUGAUACUGCAGGACUUGAAUUAUUGGGAAGUAACUAGAAUAUGUAGUGUAGCGGUGAAAUGCUUAGAGAUUACAUGGAAUACCAAUUGCGAAGGCAGGUUACUACCAAUUGAUUGACGCUGAUGGACGAAAGCGUGGGUAGCGAACAGGAUUAGAGACCCCUGUAGUCCCUGUCUCUUAUAU
RNAcentral lists this ribosomal RNA (301 nucleotides) under uncultured bacterium. Its description in RNAcentral is "partial 16S ribosomal RNA". It matches the Rfam family "Bacterial small subunit ribosomal RNA", at positions 509 to 809 of the family's 1533-position model. The record is from RNAcentral.